RNAcentral lists this ribosomal RNA (229 nucleotides) under uncultured eukaryote. RNAcentral's name for it is "partial small subunit ribosomal RNA". It matches the Rfam family "Eukaryotic small subunit ribosomal RNA", at positions 1208 to 1456 of the family's 1831-position model. The record is from RNAcentral.
GGAAAACUUACCAGGUCCAGACAUAGCGAGGAUUGACAGAUUGAGAGCUCUUUCUUGAUUCUAUGGGAGGUGGUGCAUGGCCGUUCUUAGUUGGUGGAGUGAUUUGUCUGGUUAAUUCCGUUAACGAACGAGACCCCCGCCUGCUAAAUAGGUCCGUGAAUGAAUUUCAUUGACGAGAUCUUCUUAGAGGGACUUUUGGUGACUAACCAAAGGAAGUUGGGGGCAAUAA